This 255-nucleotide ribosomal RNA is filed under the name uncultured bacterium. RNAcentral's name for it is "partial 16S ribosomal RNA". It matches the Rfam family "Bacterial small subunit ribosomal RNA", at positions 524 to 776 of the family's 1533-position model. The record is from RNAcentral.
UACGGAGGGUGCGAGCGUUGUCCGGAAUCAUUGGGCGUAAAGGGCGCGUAGGUGGCGGGACAAGCGUGCGGUGAAAGCUCGGGGCUCAACCCCCGCGUCGGCCGUGCGAACUGUUUUUGCUUGAGCACUGUAGAGGCAGGCGGAAUUCCGGGUGUAGCGGUGGAAUGCGUAGAGAUCCGGAAGAACACCGGUGGCGAAGGCGACUUACUGGACCAGCACUGACACUGAGGCACGAAAGCGUGGGGAGCAAACAGG